GAUGAACGCUGGCGGCGUGCCUAAUACAUGCAAGUCGAGCGAACGGACGAGAAGCUUGCUUCUCUGAUGUUAGCGGCGGACGGGUGAGUAACACGUGGAUAACCUACCUAUAAGACUGGGAUAACUUCGGGAAACCGGAGCUAAUACCGGAUAAUAUUUUGAACCGCAUGGUUCAAAAGUGAAAGACGGUCUUGCUGUCACUUAUAGAUGGAUCCGCGCUGCAUUAGCUAGUUGGUAAGGUAACGGCUUACCAAGGCAACGAUGCAUAGCCGACCUGAGAGGGUGAUCGGCCACACUGGAACUGAGACACGGUCCAGACUCCUACGGGAGGCAGCAGUAGGGAAUCUUCCGCAAUGGGCGAAAGCCUGACGGAGCAACGCCGCGUGAGUGAUGAAGGUCUUCGGAUCGUAAAACUCUGUUAUUAGGGAAGAACAUAUGUGUAAGUAACUGUGCACAUCUUGACGGUACCUAAUCAGAAAGCCACGGCUAACUACGUGCCAGCAGCCGCGGUAAUACGUAGGUGGCAAGCGUUAUCCGGAAUUAUUGGGCGUAAAGCGCGCGUAGGCGGUUUUUUAAGUCUGAUGUGAAAGCCCACGGCUCAACCGUGGAGGGUCAUUGGAAACUGGAAAACUUGAGUGCAGAAGAGGAAAGUGGAAUUCCAUGUGUAGCGGUGAAAUGCGCAGAGAUAUGGAGGAACACCAGUGGCGAAGGCGACUUUCUGGUCUGUAACUGACGCUGAUGUGCGAAAGCGUGGGGAUCAAACAGGAUUAGAUACCCUGGUAGUCCACGCCGUAAACGAUGAGUGCUAAGUGUUAGGGGGUUUCCGCCCCUUAGUGCUGCAGCUAACGCAUUAAGCACUCCGCCUGGGGAGUACGACCGCAAGGUUGAAACUCAAAGGAAUUGACGGGGACCCGCACAAGCGGUGGAGCAUGUGGUUUAAUUCGAAGCAACGCGAAGAACCUUACCAAAUCUUGACAUCCUUUGACAACUCUAGAGAUAGAGCUUUCCCCUUCGGGGGACAAAGUGACAGGUAGUGCAUGGUUGUCGUCAGCUCGUGUCGUGAGAUGUUGGGUUAAGUCCCGCAACGAGCGCAACCCUUAAGCUUAGUUGCCAUCAUUAAGUUGGGCACUCUAAGUUGACUGCCGGUGACAAACCGGAGGAAGGUGGGGAUGACGUCAAAUCAUCAUGCCCCUUAUGAUUUGGGCUACACACGUGCUACAAUGGACAAUACAAAGGGCAGCGAAACCGCGAGGUCAAGCAAAUCCCAUAAAGUUGUUCUCAGUUCGGAUUGUAGUCUGCAACUCGACUACAUGAAGCUGGAAUCGCUAGUAAUCGUAGAUCAGCAUGCUACGGUGAAUACGUUCCCGGGUCU
This 1372-nucleotide ribosomal RNA is filed under the name uncultured bacterium. RNAcentral's name for it is "bacterial SSU rRNA". It matches the Rfam family "Bacterial small subunit ribosomal RNA", at positions 28 to 1381 of the family's 1533-position model. The record is from RNAcentral.